Molecule: non-coding RNA, 30 nt
Filed under: Rattus norvegicus (Norway rat)
Lineage: Eukaryota; Metazoa; Chordata; Mammalia; Rodentia; Muridae
Source: RNAcentral
UGCAAAGACGCCCACUUGGAAGUGUGACUG